UACGGGGGGAGCAAGCGUUGUUCGGAUUUACUGGGCGUAAAGGGCGCGUAGGCGGUCAGCACAAGUCAGUUGUGAAAUCUCCGAGCUUAACUCGGAAAGGUCAACUGAUACUGUGCGACUAGAGUGCGGAAGGGGCAACUGGAAUUCUUGGUGUAGCGGUGAAAUGCGUAGAUAUCAAGAGGAACACCUGCGGCGAAGGCGGGUUGCUGGGCCGACACUGACGCUGAAGUGCGAAGGCCAGGGGAGCGAACGGG
This 254-nucleotide ribosomal RNA is filed under the name uncultured bacterium. RNAcentral describes it as "partial 16S ribosomal RNA". It matches the Rfam family "Bacterial small subunit ribosomal RNA", at positions 524 to 776 of the family's 1533-position model. The record is from RNAcentral.